CCGAGCGAGGGCUCCGGCCCGACCUCCAACCCAUUGAAGUUACCAACUCUGUUGCCUCGGGGGUGACCCGGCCGCCGCGUCGGGGCCCCGAAGGACCACCCCACUCUGCGUCUCUGCGUCGGAGUCUGAGGGAAAUGUCAAUUA
This 144-nucleotide unclassified non-coding RNA is filed under the name uncultured fungus. Its description in RNAcentral is "sequence contains ITS1, 5.8S rRNA gene". The record is from RNAcentral. Lineage: Eukaryota; Fungi.